Lonchura striata (white-rumped munia) is the source of this 217-nucleotide non-coding RNA. The record is from RefSeq and is a predicted model, not a curated record. NCBI's taxonomy places the organism in Eukaryota, Metazoa, Chordata, Aves, Passeriformes, Estrildidae.
GAUCCUGAAAGCAAAGCCAACCUGAAACCUGCAUGGAAAGCAGAGCCAGAGGUGAGUUGCUAAGAACCCAUGAAAACAGACUGGAGAGUCUCAUAUAUAACUGCUGGACCUGAUCCAUAAUGAGGAGGGCUUACAGCACCAAGCUUGGGGCUCUCUGGUGUGCAGCACACAUUCCUUUAUUGGAUUACCAGCGAGGAAUGACCCCUUAUUUACAGAA